Molecule: long non-coding RNA, 355 nt
Organism: Cyprinus carpio carpio
Lineage: Eukaryota; Metazoa; Chordata; Actinopteri; Cypriniformes; Cyprinidae
Source: Ensembl
UUAGCAACCGCCUAGCAACCACCCAGAACACCCUAGCAACCACCUAGCAACACCUUAGCAACCACCCUAAAGCACCCUAGCAACCGCCUAGCAACACAUUAGCAACCACCCAAAGUACCUUAGCAACUGCCUAGCAACCGCCUAGCAACCACCCAGGUUACCAUAGCAACCGCCUAGCAACCACCUAGCAACACCUUAGCAACCACCCCAAGUACCUUAGCAACUGCCUAGCAACCACCCAGAACACCCUAGCAACCGCUUAGCAACACCUUAGCAACCACCCCAAGUACCUUAGCAACUGCCUAGCAACCGCCUAGCAACCACCCAGAACACCCCUAGCAACCGCCUAGCAACA